This 253-nucleotide ribosomal RNA is filed under the name uncultured bacterium. Its description in RNAcentral is "partial 16S ribosomal RNA". It matches the Rfam family "Bacterial small subunit ribosomal RNA", at positions 524 to 776 of the family's 1533-position model. The record is from RNAcentral.
UACGUAGGAGACGAGCGUUGUCCGGAGUUACUGGGCGUAAAGGGUGCGCAGGCGGCCUGGCGCGUCGCGAGUGAAAUCUCCUGGCUCAACUGGGAGGGUGGUCGCGAGACGGCUGGGCUUGAGGCUCGGUGAGGGGCGUGGAAUUCCGGGUGGAGCGGUGAAAUGCGUAGAGAUCGGAAAGAACACCAACGGCGAAAGCACUCUGCUGGGCCGACACUGACACUGAGAGACGAAAGCUAGGGGAGCGAAUGGG